This 253-nucleotide ribosomal RNA is filed under the name uncultured bacterium. RNAcentral's name for it is "partial 16S ribosomal RNA". It matches the Rfam family "Bacterial small subunit ribosomal RNA", at positions 524 to 776 of the family's 1533-position model. The record is from RNAcentral.
UACGUAUGGUGCAAGCGUUAUCCGGAUUUACUGGGUGUAAAGGGAGCGCAGGCGGCACGGCAAGCCUGAUGUGAAAGCCCGCGGCCCAACCGCGGGACUGCAUUGGGAACUACCGGGCUGGAGUGCCGGAGAGGUAGGCGGAAUUCCUAGUGUAGCGGUGAAAUGCGUAGAUAUUAGGAGGAACACCAGUGGCGAAGGCGGCCUACUGGACGGUGACUGACGCUGAGGUUCGAAAGCGUGGGGAGCAAACAGG